RNAcentral lists this ribosomal RNA (464 nucleotides) under uncultured bacterium. RNAcentral describes it as "partial 16S ribosomal RNA". It matches the Rfam family "Bacterial small subunit ribosomal RNA", at positions 39 to 507 of the family's 1533-position model. The record is from RNAcentral.
GGGGGGGGGGGGGGGGGGGGGGGAGGGGUGGGGGGCGGGGGGGGGACGUUCCUGCGGGGGUGGAGUUGGCGGCGGGCGGGUGAGUGACGCGUGGGCAGCCUGCCUCGUAGAGGGGAAUAGCCUUCCGAAAGGGAGAGUACUAGCGCAUAAGAUUGGAGAAUCGCCUUAUACCGCAAUUAAAGGAGCAAUCCGCUAUGAGAUGGGCCCGCGGCGCAUUAGCUAGUUGGUGAGGUAACGGCUAACCAAGGCGACGAUGCGUAGCCGACCUGAGAGGGUGAUCGGCCACAUUGGGACUGAGACACGGCCCAGACUCCUACGGGAGGCAGCAGUGGGGAAUAUUGCACAAUGGGGGAAACCCUGAUGCAGCAACGCCGCGUGAGUGAUGACGGCCUUCGGGUUGUAAAGCUCUGUCUUCAGGGACGAUAAUGACGGUACCUGAGGAGGAAGCCACGGCUAACUACGUG